GUGCUUGCUUCGGCAGCACAUAUACUAAAAUUGGAAUGAUACAGGGAAGAUUAGCAUGGACCCUGCGCAAGGAUGACACGCAAAUUCGUGAAGCAUUCCAUAUUUUU
Small nuclear RNA from Otolemur garnettii (small-eared galago), 107 nucleotides. The record is from Ensembl. Lineage: Eukaryota; Metazoa; Chordata; Mammalia; Primates; Galagidae.